AUCAUCUAUCCCACCUUCGGCGGCUGGCUCCAAAAGGUUACCCCACCGACUUCGGGUGUUACAAACUCUCGUGGUGUGACGGGCGGUGUGUNCAAGGCCCGGGAACGUAUUCACCGCGGCAUGCUGAUCCGCGAUUACUANCGAUUCCGGCUUCNUGUNGGCGAAUUGCAGCCUACAAUCCGAACUGAAAACGANUUUAUCGGAUUAGCUCCCUCUCGCGANUUGGCAACCGUUUGUAUCGUCCAUUGUANCACGUGUGUNNCCCAGGUCNUAAGGGGCAUGAUGAUUUGACGUCAUCCCCACCUUCCUCCGGUUUGUCACCGGCAGUCACCUUAAAAUGCCCAACUAAAUGAUGGCAACUAANAUCAAGGGUUGCGCUCGUUGCGGGACUUAACCCAACAUCUCACGACACGANCUGACGACAACCAUGCACCNCCUGUCACCGUUGUCCCCNAANGGAAAACCAUAUCUCUACAGUGGUCAACGGGAUGUCCANACCUGGUAAGGUUCUUCCCGUUGCUUCCAAUUAAACCACAUGCUCCACCGCUUGUNCGGGNCCCCNUCCAUUCCUUUGAAUUUCAAUCUUGCGAACGUACUCCCCNGCCGAAUNCUUAAUCNUUAACUGCNCCACUAAGGGGCGGAAACCCCNAACCUUACNCUCCUCCUUUACGGGNUGAAUACCAGGGUNUCUAACCCGUUUGCUCCCCACGCUUCCCCCCCCACGUC
RNAcentral lists this ribosomal RNA (726 nucleotides) under Amazonian soil bacterium M33c. Its description in RNAcentral is "partial 16S ribosomal RNA". The record is from RNAcentral.